RNAcentral lists this long non-coding RNA (7795 nucleotides) under Manihot esculenta (cassava). RNAcentral describes it as "long non-coding RNA (MESC_LNC008119)". Lineage: Eukaryota; Viridiplantae; Streptophyta; Magnoliopsida; Malpighiales; Euphorbiaceae. The record is from RNAcentral.
CUUUCUGUAACUCGGUUACAUUCCUUGGUUUCGUUGCCUGUCUUUUACUCCAAGUACGCUUCCUGCCUCUUCGCAGGACCACCUCUUCGUGUGUUUUCUCAUCUGGCCAUGUUUAUCCGAGCCCCUGAAGCAAAAUAAAUACACGAUUGACGCAGUUAGAAGAAAUACGCUUGUGAGCGAAAAUGGGGAUUCUCGAAGCGCACAACGUCAAGGUUUUGGGGUCAGGACUGCAAGUUUUAGUCCUAUCUCAUAGCUUUGGCACCGAUCAAUCUGUGUGGAAGUAUCUGGUGCCAUACCUGCUCGAAGACUAUCGUGUUAUUUUAUAUGAUAGUAUGGGUGCUGGUUCCACUAACCCAGAUUAUUUCGACUUCGAAAGAUACUCAACCAUUGACGGGUUUGCUUAUGAUUUGCUUGCCAUAUUAGAUGAACUAGAGGUGAAGUCUUGUAUUUUUAUUGGCCACUCAGUUUUGAGUAUGGCUGGUGCCAUUGCCUCUGUUUCUCGCCCUGAUCUCUUCUCUAAGCUCGUCUUCAUCUGUGGCACUCCGAGGUACAUAUAAAUCUCUCAUUCGAAAGCAUUAACUGUAAAAUUUUAUCAACUGAUUUCAUAAAGCUUUUGCAUGUUGAAACUAGGCCAUUGAAUGAUAAAGACUACCAUGGAGGAUUCGAGCAAGCAGACCUUGACCAAAUGCUGAAAGGAAUGCGUUCAAAUGUCGAAGCUUGGUGCCAAGGCUUCGCACCAAUGGUGGUAGGUGGCGACAUGGACUCGGCGCUUCUGCAAGAAAUCUCCCGAACAUUAUUCAACAUGAGACCUGAUAUAGGCUUAAGUUUAACCCAGGUAAAAUUCCAAUGUGACACUAGACAUAUUUUGCCUCUGGUCAAAGUCCCAUGCCACAUACUGCAGAGCGCCAAGAACAUGGUGCCAGUGGAGGUGUCUGAAUAUAUGCAUCAACAUCUUGGAGGCCCAUCUGUUGUCGAGAUUAUGUCUUCGAAAGGUCACUUGCCGCAUUUGAGCUCUCCAGACAUCGUCAUCCCAGUUAUUCUCAGGCACAUUAACCUUGAUAUAACCAAAUGAUCUAUAUACAUAUAAUGUGUGGUUUGUCUUCCAUGUGAAUGUGUGUGCUUUGUUUUCCAUGUCAAUAUCUCCUAAUCCUUUCUAUGUUUUCACUAGCAAGAAAUGAGAAGCUAUAGACCUUGUAAGCUUCAAACCUUUAAUUAAGCAUAAUGAUAUUCCAUCUUGUAUGAAUUUUGUUUAUGAUAUUCGUAAGAAAUAUUUAUUAAACAAAACUCUUUCCAUGGAAUAUAACUGAACCCAAGCAAAGAUGGCAAUAAUAAUACUAAUAAUAAUUUCAUAUAACUAUAAAUAAUAUGAAAAUUAUAAUAUUAUUGAAAUAACAUCAUAGCUUAAAUAGAUUUCUUUAGUACCAAAAUUUAGAUUCUUUCCUAAAUUUAAAUUGUUUAACUCGAUACCAUUAGAUACAUAUUUUCUAUAUUUAAUUUUUUUUAAAAAAAGUCUAAUUAUUACCCAUAAAACUCACUAAAUAAUCUAAUUAUUACUUAUUAAUAUAUUAUUUUUGAAAAUUUUAAUUUCUUUCUAAAUUUAAAUAAUUUAACGUAUAAUUUUAAUUGUUUAUAUUGAUUUGUAACAAAGUGAUUUGAAAAACCACUUCUUAAGCAAUAAAAAAUGGGUGUAUAUAAUAACUUCUGUUUGUGAAUAUUUUGAGAUGAAGAAAAAACUGAAAUUAUAGUUGAAAAUGAGAAGUAACGUUACAAAAGAGGCAUUUGCGAUAGAAAAAAUCCAUCAAUUUUAAUAAUUAUUCAGUCGUUGAAAGUAACAGCAACGAAAUUGCGACUGUAAAAAUUUCCUUAUUAAUAACCUAAUUGCUAAUAUCAGCAACAGAUUUCUAACUUCGUCACCUGUUGCUAAAAAUAUCAAUACAUAUAUUUAUCACGAAUCAUAUAUUCUUAAAGUCAUUGCAAAGUUAUCAAAAAUUCUAUUUUCUUCGUUCUAUAAUGUUUUUUCGAAAUUAUUAUCUAUUUUUUUUUUAUUUUUAAUAUUAUAAUUAAUAUAUAAAUGGAGUAUUAUAAUUUUAUUUUAUUUUCAAUAUAUACUGUAAUUAAUUUUUAUUUUUCUAAAUAAACAUUUAAAACAUCUCUUGGUAUUUAAUAAAAUUUAAUAUUUUUAAAAUAGAUAUAAUUAAAAAGUUAAUAUUAAAAAUUAUUUUUUUUAAUAUAAAAAAAAUAAAAUGAAAAAAAAUAUAGAACGAAAGAGUGUAAGUUAUAUAUUUUAUAAUUUUUCUAUAUAUUUUUUGUGUUUGUAUAUUUACAACACUUAAUAAGUAGAAUAAAUUAAUUGUGAUAUUCUGAAAAUUAUCAUGAACAUGCAUAUGUUAAUAAAAUUAGUAGAAUAAUUCAAACAUAAUAGUAAAUCUAAGUACAAACAUAUAAAUGAUAAAAAAAAAAAAAUCAUUUUUCAUCCGUAGAUGAUCUGAAUUUUUUUGAGUUCAAUUACUUCUUUUCAAAAAUAUUUGUGGAGUUCAAAUUUUUUCCCAAAGUAUUGCAUAAUUUCAACGUUAAAGCAAUCGGCCGGUGACUCGAACUAGUUAAAAUUAAAAUGAAGAAAUUAAAGAGUGCUUCUAAAAACAUAUUAAAAUGUUAAAAUGAAUUAGUUAAGUUGAUAUGGAACAGUUAGACUCCUAUUAGGAUUAGGAUUAGGAUUAUUUUUGCAUAUUAGGAUUUUAUUUAUAUUGUAAAUAGCCUCCCUUGACUAUUAGGAUUUUAGACUCCUAUUAGGAUUUUAGACUCCUAUUAGGAUUAAGAUUAUUUUUGCAUAUUAGUAUUUUAUUUCUAUUGUAAAUAGCCUCCCUUGGCUAUUAGAAUUUUAGACUCCUAUUAGGAUUACGAUUAUUUUAUUUCUAUUAUAAAUAGCCUCCCUUGGCUAUUAGAAACUCACUUUUCAAUCUUUGAGGAAUUUCAAUAAAACUUUUAGUCUUCUAGCCUAUAUUUUCUCUUAUUUCGUCUUAGCCAAAUGAUAUUGGUUAAAACUCCUGACGGAGUCUAAAUAGUCCUACAUCAGAUUGGUAUUAGAGCGAAAUUCGACCAUGGCAGAUAACCAAGAGGCGCGACUUGCUGCGAUUGAGGCAUCCUUGGCAGAAUUGAGGGAGAUGAUCGGACAGCUCACCCUGCAGCAGGGAAUCCACCAACUUGCCGCCACCGCACACCCCCAGCCAGUCGCCAAUCCUGUGGCCGCCAAUCUUGUGGUCGACAAUAAGGGAAAGGCAGUCACCUAUGUAGUGAAGAAAAUCUUAUGCUCAACUAAACAGGAGGAUGAGACGCAAAGGAGGAAGAUUUUCCAGGCCAAGUAUCGAGUAGGAGAGGCAAUUUGCAGGCUAAUUAUCGAUAGCUAUAGUUGUGAGAAUUUGAUAGCCAAGCAAUUGGUAGAAAAAUUACAGUUGCCUACACAGCCUCACCCCUCACCAUACAAAGUCGGAUGGAUUAAGGAAGGACCAACAAUUGAGGUCAACAGAAUCUGCAGCGUGCCUAUCUCGAUCGGUAAAUCUUAUACUGAACCUGUUAAUUGUGAUGUUGUGGAUAUGGAUUGCUGUGGCAUUUUGCUAGGUCGCCCGCGGCAAUUCGACGUUGAUGCUUUGCAUAAAGGGAAGAAGAAUUCAUACAUGUUCACGUGGAAUCAAAAGAAGAUUACUAUCUUGCCUUCCGGUUCUGCGAAACAUUCUAAUGUGGAAGGGAAGCAUACUGUUGCUGUUUCUACAGGAGUGCAGAAGCUAUCAGGCGCAGUUGAGAAAUCUGGAGGCACACUAGCUUUAUUGGUGAGAGCAAAAGGUACAAUGGAGGAUGCACCAUCUUUACCACCGCCCGUCAAAGAGUUGUUGAAGGAGUUUCCUAAGAUAGUAGAGGAAUCAUCAAAGCUUCCACCCCUGCGGGAUAUCCAACAUCAGAUUGAUCUCAUUCCUGGAUCAAAAUUACCGAAUCUGCCUCAUUACAAGAUGAGUCCAAAGGAGAGUGAAAUCCUCUAAGUACAAGUGGAAGAAUUACUGAAGAAGGGACAUAUUCGGGAGAGCAUUAGCCCCUGCGGAGUACCUGCCCUAUUAGUUCCAAAGAAAGAUGGGACUUGGAGAAUGUGCGUGGAUAGCAGGGCCAUCAACAAAAUUACAGUUCAAUAUCGAUUUCCUAUUCCACGAUUGGAUGACAUGCUAGAUCAGCUAUUCGGGGCUAAAGUCUUUUCUAAAAUCGACCUCAAAAGUGGCUAUCACCAAGUUCGGAUCAAGGAGGGAGAUGAAUGGAAGACUGCCUUCAAGACUAAGGAAGGCUUGUAUGAGUGGCUGGUUAUGCCCUUUGGUUUAACAAAUGCACCUAGCAUUUUUAUGCGACUCAUGAACCAGGUUUUGCGUCCUUUCUUACGCAAAUUUGUGGUUGUUUAUUUUGAUGACAUUUUGAUAUUUAGUCGCAGUGAGGAAGAACAUCUUCAGCAUCUCCGUCAAGUCAUGACGGCCCUACAAGAAAGUGAGUUGAUUAUUAAUCUUAAGAAGUGCAUCUAUAUGACGGAGCGCGUUCUGUUCCUGGGAUUCGUUGUUAGUGCAGAAGGGAUACAUGUUGAUGAGACGAAGGUAGAAGCAAUACGGAAUUGGCCCAUCCCCAAAACUAUUUCUGAAGUUCGUAGCUUUCAUGGCCUUGCCACUUUCUACCGACGGUUUAUCAGAAAUUUCAGCAGCAUCGUUGCCCCUAUCACAGAUUGCUUGAAAAAAGAGAGAGUGCAAAAAUUUGCAUGGACUGAAGCUGCCAACAAGAGCUUUGAAGAGAUUAAAGAUAAGCUUACUUCUGCCCCUAUUCUUGCUCUACCUGAUUUUGAUAAACUGUUUGAGAUUGAAUGUGAUGCUUGUGGAGUUGGGAUUGGAGGAGUAUUGUCACAGUCUAAAAGGCCUAUUGCCUUCUUUAGUGAGAAACUGAAUGAAGCUAGAAAGAAGUAGUCUACUUAUGAGCAGGAACUAUAUGCAGUAUUCCGGGCUUUUAAAACUUGGGAGCAGUAUUUGAUGGGAUGAGAAUUUAUUAUUCACACAGAUCAUCAGUCUCUGAUCCAUUUUAAAACUCAAAAACAUGUGAAUAAGAUGCAUGCCCGAUGGGCAGCUUACUUUGGAGCCUUUCAUUAUGUCAUUAAACAUAAGGCUAGCCAUAGUAAUAAGGUGGCAGAUGCUUUGAGUAGGAGGGCUGCUCUGUUGAUUACAGUUAAUCAGGAGGUUGUAGGUUUUGAAUUCCUGAAGGAUUUGUAUGCUACAGAUGAUGAUUUUGUUGAUAUAUGGGCUAGAGUCCAGACUCACCAGCCUACUGAUGGGUUCUUGAUACAUUAUGACUUUCUUUUUAAGGAGAACAGGUUAUGCAUCCCUCGAUCUUCCUUGCGGGAGAAGUUGAUUCGUGAGAUCCAUGGAGGAGGUUUGAGUGGUCAUUUGGGGCGUGAUAAGACUAUUGCUGGGUUGGAGGAGCGUUUUUACUGGCCUCAAUUAAAAAAGGAUACAGGUCGAAUGGUUCAGAAGUGCCCAGUGUGUCAAACUCAGAAGGGACAUUCGCAGAAUACAGGCUUAUACACUCCACUGCCUAUUCCAGCCCAUCCUUGGGAGGACUUGUCUAUGGAUUUUGUUCUUGGUCUUCCACGUACUCAACGUGGAUCUGAUUCCAUUUUUGUUGUUGUUGACAGGUUCUCUAAAAUGGCGCAUUUCAUUCCCUGCAAGAAAACUAAUGAUGCUUCCCAUGUAGCAAAACUAUUUUUCCAGGAGAUUGUUCGCUUACAUGGUGUCCCCAAAACCAUUACUUCUGACAGAGAUGUGAAGUUUCUAGCUCACUUCUGGGUGACUUUAUGGAAACGCUUCGGGACUGAACUUCGAUACAGCAGUGCUGCUCACCCCCAAACUGAUGGACAAACUGAAGUGGUAAACCGCACGCUUGGCAGUCUUCUACGCUGCAUCUGCAGUAACAAGAAAACUGCUUGGGAUCUUACUCUUGCCCAAGCAGAAUUUGCUUACAACAGUGCAAUUCACAGCUCCACAAAGAUGUCACCAUUUGCUGUUGUGUACAGGAAAGUCCCAGCGCAUACAGUUGAUCUUAUCGCACUUCCCACAGGUUAUCACAACCGUCUUGCAGCAAGCAACCUGGCAAAGCAGCACGUGGAUGUUUUCAAGCAAGUACAACAAUGCCUUACGGAAGCCAAUGAUAAAUAUAAAGUUAUAGCUGAUAAACAUAGGCGUUUCAAAUCCUUCAAUGUCGGUGAUCAAGUUAUGGUGUAUUUACGUAAGGAGCGUGGUGGAGGACAGAAAAAGCUUGACGCCAAAAAGAUUGGUCCAUUCCGGAUCAUUCAGAAGAUUAAUGACAAUGCCUAUGUUUUUGACCUUCCACAUGAGAUGAAAAUUUCCAAGACGUUUAACGUAGCGGAUCUAUUUCAGUACUAUCCUGUUGAAGACAACUCGAGGUCGAGUUCUUUACAAGUGGAAGGGAAUGAUAUGGAACAGUUAGACUCCUAUUAGGAUUAGGAUUAUUUUUGCAUAUUAGGAUUUUAUUUCUAUUGUAAAUAGUCUCUCUUAGCUAUUAGGAUUUUAGACUCCUAUUAGGAUUAUAAUUAUUUUAUUUCUAUUAUAAAUAGCCUCCCUUGACUAUUAGAAACUUACUUUUUAAUUUUUGAGGAAUUUCAAUAAGUCUUUUAGUCUUCUAACCUAUCUUUUCUCUUAUUUCGUCUUAGCCAAACGAUAUUGGUUAAAAUUUCUGACGGAAUCUAAAUAGUCCUACAUCAUAAGUGGUGUAGAGAGCUAACCAAUGAAAGCAGUUGAGUAGAGACCUCGAGUUACGAAGAAAAUCAACGACGCUUAAUCUGUGAAGAGAAUCCACCGCCUCGCCUUAGUUCUUGUGGAUGUCGGCACUGUAUAAUCCUCGCUUCAACGCCAUUGCCUAUCAAAACCUAAAACAAAUUAAGACAGCAGGAACUGAAAGAGAAAGUGGAAAUGAGAUAAAAUCUAGUGAAAGUCCAUCGCUAGGCAAUAAUGGGACACUAACCAGUCAUAAAAGUUCAGGUUAGCUGACGUAAACUCAUCCCAUGAAAAAUGAUGAACCAUGCCUCGCCACACCUGCUUAGCAACUUCGCAGUCCCAUAAAACAUGAAAGGCUGAUUCUAUUUCUGCAUGACAAACGCUUCACUUAGAUGUCGCCGAAUCCGUUCAAAGUUAGUGAGUCAUAAGAAUAUGCGCAUGCAUUGAGGUCCAUUCCAUUUCCAAAUCUGUUUCCAGCGCCUAUCUAGCAGAGAAUAACCUGUUUUAAUGGAGAACUGACGGGGGUACGUAGUAAGAUCCCAGACUGGACAAUCAAGUCCCAUGUAUAACGAAGGUGGUGGAAUAGCCGAGAGAGAGAAGAGUAGAGGCUCCUUCAUCCGAUUCCAAGACCAACGACCCUCCUCAUUCACGUAGUCACUAACAGGGCAAUGCAGGAUACUGUCUCGGGGUUGCUUGACUGCUACCUUACUCAGAGGAAUGCCACCGAAAACAUAAGUAUUUUCCAGACCUUGACGGCUUCCCGUUCGCAACUGACCAAACUGGUGAAUUCCACAUUGCUUUAGAAUUUGUGGAACAGAGGCAAUAUGCCCUUAUAAAAGUCUCAGUUACUCCUCUCUAGUUUUUGGAGUGAACAAAUAACAAAUUUAACACAAACCAACUUUUCCGAGAGCCAAAAGCCAUCUUUCUUUUGCCAAAGCUUAUCCACUGUAGACUGCAUAGAAUAGACUGGAAUAGCUACGAUUGAGCUAGAC